UGUCACGUGGCCCUUUCUGGGCUCGUUUUAACUGGGGAGAAUGCAGUUCCUCCUUCCGUUCCUUUCGUGGGUGCGCGAGAGGCAGCCGGAGAGCGGUCAGCGGCCCACGAGGUAAUGAGGACAGAGUCAGCAGUUAGUAAUUGUUUCUGAUGGUAUUGCAUGUUUCCUGUCUGGACUCUGCUAUGCUACUCCUUUGUAACCAGCAAGAUGUCACGUGAACUGUUAAAGAAAUAAGGCUAUGAGCAUUGGCCUCAGAGAUUUUGUUGCUCUGUCCAUAAAUCCCUAUAUUGUGAGAUGGGCUUUCAAAUGCUGCUUACCUGAAGCCUGCCAGCUCUCACCUGAACUGCUGAGUGGGAAAUACCUUCGUUAUGUGAUUUGCUGAGCUCAGACACAUUCAGAAAUGCCAUUUUCCUGACUUUGUUCUGCUCUUUGCAGCCAGCAAGAUGUUGUUUGAAUUCUCUUAAGAACAAGAAUUUACAUCAACCAUGGUGUUAAAUAUAUGUUGUCUAAUGUGCAGUUAACUUGCAGCUACCAAGAAGUCAUACAGUUUUCAAGUAUCCACGUCCACAGAUUCUUCAUUGGAUCUUCAUGUCCCCUGCAAACUUAAGGAGGCGGAACCAGACCAGUCAGUCAUCAUGGACCUGGAGUUAAGCUCUGCACCAGAAGUGCCUAUUUCCUAUUCUCCUCUGCAUCCAGAUCCACAGAUCCCACAGUGUGAUUUUCACAGGAUGCAGCACAAUCAGGAAAAGUUACUUAGUCUAAACACUCAUAAAUAUUUACAAUUUUUUUAAUUUAAAAAAAUAUAUUUUUACUAAGACCUUACACAUGUACACCUUCCAGCUAAAUGUGGUUUAGAUUGAAGAUUGUUAGUCCAGUUUGUACGUCUGUCUAGUUUGCUUCCUUCUAGAUCUCAUCUCCACAGAAAUUCGUUGUGAUGGAAUUCACCCCUGUGUUCAAACCUCACACACUAUUGUAAUAAUCUUUGUACAAGGAAUGCCUUGUGAGGUCUCAUUAGAAAACUCGUAAUUUGAUGAUCAGUGAUAUCAUGGUAAAAUGUGUGUGGCAGCUUUAUGCAUUAAGUUAUAAAUUUCCUCUGUUUGAUGUUAAAAAUACAUGCGCAGACUCACAUAUCACCAAACUGGUCAAACAGACCUGUUUUGAACAAAGUGUAUGCUUGUCUUAAUUGGCAUUAACACAGUAAACAGAGUCAUCAACCAGAAAAGGGGAAAGGAGAAAACAAAGGGAGCUCACGCAGGUGAAAAAGCCCAGCAGGGAACAGCCUUCCUCCAGUAGACUGCCUGUCUCCUGGUUCUCAGCUGGAAAUGCUUUUCAAAGAGGGACUAAAACACUAUAAAAAGGCAGGGCAAACACCCCAAGACACCCCUCUCUUCCCCUGCCCACUGUAUUCUCUGCACCUUAGAAGGCAACGGCAACAACUGUUGGAUGUUAGGGGCAGUGCUCUGACCUGAAGAGUUUGGUCAGUAAUGAUGCUGAAAGCAUGUGUUGAGAAACUAUGCUUGAAUCUAAUAUAGUUUGUUAAAUUAGGCAUUAGAAAGUGUUUUAUCUUUAUUUUUCUUGUAAUAAUUUCUGAUUUUUAUGCCUCAUUACUGGUACUCACUUAAAAUAUAUCUCUUUGUAGUUGUUAAACUUGGU
This is a long non-coding RNA of Emys orbicularis (European pond turtle), 1653 nucleotides long. RefSeq lists it as uncharacterized. The transcript is spliced from 6 exons. The record is from RefSeq and is a predicted model, not a curated record. Lineage: Eukaryota; Metazoa; Chordata; Testudines; Emydidae.